Molecule: long non-coding RNA, 932 nt
Organism: Gossypium arboreum
Lineage: Eukaryota; Viridiplantae; Streptophyta; Magnoliopsida; Malvales; Malvaceae
Exons: 4
Source: RefSeq, a predicted model, not a curated record
UGGUUGGCUAUAAUGGACUAUUACAGUCAUAUUCCAUAUAAUCUUAUUGAAGGCGAAACUGCGUUUACCAUUCGGCACUCUACUUACGGAAUACCCAUUUAGCGUGUCUGAGUUUCAACCUUACCUUUCUCCCUCUUUUUCAUUCUCACGUCUGAAGCAUCUUCUUUUUUUCAUUCUUCUUCCCAUUUCCUUCCAACCCUCAACUCUAUCAACGAGCUUCGCCAUUUCUCUUUUUGUUAUAUUGGUCUUCAUUCUCUAAACUCCAAAACCGCCGUUAAAUUAUCCCAAUCUUCUAACUUCAAUGGACUAUUUCCUUGACGCCUCCGGCCUCUCAGGUUAGGAUUUCGAUCGAACUCGUCGAUCAUCGCUUUCAGCUCCAUCUCUGAGAUUGAUACCGAAACUUCUUCUACAGCAUCCGACAGAACUGUCUCCAUCAAUUCGGUUUAUGUUCCCAUGCCGGCUAAUCGAGACACUCGAACUCCUCAAGGCGGUUUUGAAAAAUUGAUCCUUUUGAAAGUUGGUCCUUCAAGAAGGAGAAAAGAUCGUCCUUGUAUGGUUGGAUACACCAUAUAACCAAGCCGUACAUGGACUCGUGGACAAACUAGGGAGCUUGGUGGUUAGGUUGGUGUUUACUCCUUUUGAAGAAAGUUCAUAUUCUACAUUUGCCAGGAAUUGCUUGGAAUUUCGGGGACUUGAAGUUAGGGGAAGAACCACGCUCAUCGAGCAAGAGAGCAAUCGAGUUUGGUACCAUUGUGUUGCUUCCACUCUUAUUUUUGUGCCUAUUAUCUUCAUUACUAAUGCGGUGGUAGCAAUCCGCAAUUUGGGACUGUCUCCUUACUGCUAUGUUUUUCAAAUUGUAUCAUAUCAUAUAUGAUAUUUGAAAUCUUCAUAUCUAAAUAUGUAAUAAUUGAAAUAAAUAAAUGUUAUAAUAA